GCUGGCGGCAGGCCUAACACAUGCAAGUCGAGCGGUAACAUUUCUAGCUUGCUAGAAGAUGACGAGCGGCGGACGGGUGAGUAACGCGUAGAAAUCUACCUAGUAGUGGGGGAUAGCCCAGAGAAAUUUGGAUUAAUACCGCAUACGCCCUACGGGGGAAGCGGGGGAUCUUCGGACCUCGUGCUAUUAGAUGAGUCUGCGUCGGAUUAGCUUGUUGGUGAGGUAAUGGCUCACCAAGGCGACGAUCCGUAGCUGGUCCGAGAGGAUGACCAGCCACACUGGAACUGAGACACGGUCCAGACUCCUACGGGAGGCAGCAGUGGGGAAUAUUGCACAAUGGGCGCAAGCCUGAUGCAGCCAUGCCGCGUGUGUGAAGAAGGCCUUAGGGUUGUAAAGCACUUUCAGCAGUGAGGAAAGGGGUGUCGUUAAUAGCGCCAUCUUGUGACGUUAACUGCAGAAGAAGGACCGGCUAACUCCGUG
RNAcentral lists this ribosomal RNA (480 nucleotides) under uncultured bacterium. RNAcentral's name for it is "bacterial SSU rRNA". It matches the Rfam family "Bacterial small subunit ribosomal RNA", at positions 35 to 507 of the family's 1533-position model. The record is from RNAcentral.